This is a non-coding RNA of Saimiri boliviensis boliviensis (Bolivian squirrel monkey), 403 nucleotides long. The record is from RefSeq and is a predicted model, not a curated record. Lineage: Eukaryota; Metazoa; Chordata; Mammalia; Primates; Cebidae.
GCGGAAGAAAUAGUCGACAUGGUGCGUCACUUCCUGUAGGGGCGGAGCUGUGGAGGCGCGUCCCUGGACCUGGGACUGGAUCUGCAAUUGUAUUCCUGUUUUAAGCACCGUUCUUUGGAGCAUUUCGGCACUGGAGCUUUAACCGCUGAUGGCGCUGUGGGUGGAGAAACGUUUGUUAGGUAGUGUUAGAUAUUGCUGUGUGGUGUUCCUUCCCUACGCCGGAAACGGCGGGUCCUGGCCGCCCGGAGGUACUCAGACCAGGCUUGUUACAUCAUGGUUGCAGGAUGGCUGCUACAGCUGUGGACAUCACAUCAAAGCAUGGCGGAAGCUAAAGCAGGAAGAGAGGAGGAGGCAAAACAGCUUUAUUCACUUGUGGCUCUCAUGAAGAAUAAAGAUGUUUCUC